This is a non-coding RNA of Selaginella moellendorffii, 145 nucleotides long. NCBI's taxonomy places the organism in Eukaryota, Viridiplantae, Streptophyta, Lycopodiopsida, Selaginellales, Selaginellaceae. The record is from Rfam.
GUGGCAGUGUGUGUGUACUAGAGCUGUGCUUGCUCCCUUUGCAGCUCUUGAAUGGUACUACUGCUAGAUUCCUUGUGGGGAGCGUGGGCAGUUGUUUCGUAGGCGCUGCCAAUCACGAAUUUCAACAAUCACGCUCUCUAGAUCU